Non-coding RNA from Schistocerca cancellata (South American locust), 74 nucleotides. NCBI's taxonomy places the organism in Eukaryota, Metazoa, Arthropoda, Insecta, Orthoptera, Acrididae. The record is from the annotation of a RefSeq genome assembly.
UGCUUGGGUAGCUCAGUUGGUAGAGCACUUUGCCUUUCAGGCAAAAGUCCCGAGUUCGAGUCUCGGUCCGGCAC